Molecule: signal recognition particle RNA, 335 nt
Filed under: Candidatus Bathyarchaeota archaeon
Lineage: Archaea; Thermoproteati; Candidatus Bathyarchaeota
Also listed under: 2 other names
Description: signal recognition particle sRNA
Rfam family: Archaeal signal recognition particle RNA
Source: RNAcentral
CGGCGGGUCUUAGGCGGGGGGCUAGGGGUCCCCUGACGAGCCCCUAAAAAGGCUCAGACCAUAAACCCUCUACAAGAUGGGCCGAGAGCGGAGUCUGAGUCGCCUAAGAGCGCGUGGUCUACUGUCCUCUGACCAUGAAUACCCGUCCUUCGGGGCUGGCGGUCGUGGAGCGGCUUCCGUAGGGAAGUCUGUUUCCAUGUUUACCAGGCGAACCUGGCCAGGCCCGGGAGGGAGCAACCUAAGUCUGGACGUUCAGCGCUCGAGGGGGUGCGGGUACGAGUAAAGAGGCGGCGGGAUCAAGCGAAUACUGAGCGACGAAACCCCGUGACCCGCCG